AAAACGGAAGGAGGUUUUGGAUGUGUCCUAACUAUGCACAUGACAAGGCCAAGCCAAGAAACCCAUACGACUACCCACCGUCUCCUCCACCUCUUUGUCAAUUCUGAAGUGGAUAGAUUUGGAGCAAUUAACUUCUCACAAGGAAGAGGUUGCAUAUGAGGAGGGAAGGAAGUGGAACUAUAUGUUUAAUUUGAUUCGUGAGGAGGAGCGGGAGAAAAAAAUUAAGAUUAGGCUUGAGAAUCAACGUUUGGAGAAAGAGAAAAAGGAGCAAGAAGAGAAGGACCUCCGUGAGGUGGAACGGGAGAAAAAGAGAGAGAGAGGGCUCGUCGUGCAGGGGAGGAUGCGGAAGCGCAAGAAGAUGCAACCAAACGGAAGGGAAAAUACCCCCGUUGGACUCAGUAGAUUCAUGUGUUGAACUAUAAAUCUUUAGAAUUUGUUGUUGUGAACUUGUAGGCUCAAUGCCACCUAUUUGAUGAACUUUUGUUUGUAUCGUGCACUUAAAUCUUGUAAACCUUGAAGUCGGAUUUUGUUGUUAUAUGAUUUUAAGAUUGGAGAAUUUAUUGUUGUGAACA
Molecule: long non-coding RNA, 572 nt
Organism: Lolium perenne
Lineage: Eukaryota; Viridiplantae; Streptophyta; Magnoliopsida; Poales; Poaceae
Source: RefSeq, a predicted model, not a curated record